AGAGUUUGAUCCUGGCUCAGGACGAACGCUGGCGGCGUGCCUAAUACAUGCAAGUAGAACGCUGAAGAGAGGAGCUUGCUCUUCUUGGAUGAGUUGCGAACGGGUGAGUAACGCGUAGGUAACCUGCCUUGUAGCGGGGGAUAACUAUUGGAAACGAUAGCUAAUACCGCAUAACAAUGGAUGACACAUGUCAUUUAUUUGAAAGGGGCAAUUGUUCCACUACAAGAUGGACCUGCGUUGUAUGAGCUAGUAGGUGAGGUAAUGGCUCACCUAGGCGACGAUACAUAGCCGACCUGAGAGGGUGAUCGGCCACACUGGGACUGAGACACGGCCCAGACUCCUACGGGAGGCAGCAGUAGGGAAUCUUCGGCAAUGGGGGCAACCCUGACCGAGCAACGCCGCGUGAGUGAAGAAGGUUUUCGGAUCGUAAAGCUCUGUUGUAAGUCAAGAACGGGUGUGAGAGUGGAAAGUUCACACUGUGACGGUAGCUUACCAGAAAGGGACGGCUAACUACGUGCCAGCAGCCGCGGUAAUACGUAGGUCCCGAGCGUUGUCCGGAUUUAUUGGGCGUAAAGCGAGCGCAGGCGGUUUGAUAAGUCUGAAGUUAAAGGCUGUGGCUCAACCAUAGUUCGCUUUGGAAACUGUCAAACUUGAGUGCAGAAGGGGAGAGUGGAAUUCCAUGUGUAGCGGUGAAAUGCGUAGAUAUAUGGAGGAACACCGGUGGCGAAAGCGGCUCUCUGGUCUGUAACUGACGCUGAGGCUCGAAAGCGUGGGGAGCGAACAGGAUUAGAUACCCUGGUAGUCCACGCCGUAAACGAUGAGUGCUAGGUGUUGGAUCCUAUCCGGGAUUCAGUGCCGCAGCUAACGCAUUAAGCACUCCGCCUGGGGAGUACGACCGCAAGGUUGAAACUCAAAGGAAUUGACGGGGGCCCGCACAAGCGGUGGAGCAUGUGGUUUAAUUCGAAGCAACGCGAAGAACCUUACCAGGUCUUGACAUCCCGAUGCUAUUUCUAGAGAUAGAAAGUUACUUCGGUACAUCGGUGACAGGUGGUGCAUGGUUGUCGUCAGCUCGUGUCGUGAGAUGUUGGGUUAAGUCCCGCAACGAGCGCAACCCCUAUUGUUAGUUGCCAUCAUUCAGUUGGGCACUCUAGCGAGACUGCCGGUAAUAAACCGGAGGAAGGUGGGGAUGACGUCAAAUCAUCAUGCCCCUUAUGACCUGGGCUACACACGUGCUACAAUGGUUGGUACAACGAGUUGCGAGUCGGUGACGGCGAGCUAAUCUCUUAAAGCCAAUCUCAGUUCGGAUUGUAGGCUGCAGCUCGCCUACAUGAAGUCGGAAUCGCUAGUAAUCGCGGAUCAGCACGCCGCGGUGAAUACGUUCCCGGGCCUUGUACACACCGCCCGUCACACCACGAGAGUUUGUAACACCCGAAGUCGGUGAGGUAACCUUUUGGAGCCAGCCGCCUAAGGUGGGACAGAUGAUUGGGGUGAAGUCGUAACAAGGUA
RNAcentral lists this ribosomal RNA (1506 nucleotides) under metagenome. RNAcentral describes it as "bacterial SSU rRNA". It matches the Rfam family "Bacterial small subunit ribosomal RNA". The record is from RNAcentral.